Papaver somniferum (opium poppy) is the source of this 537-nucleotide long non-coding RNA. RefSeq lists it as uncharacterized. The record is from RefSeq and is a predicted model, not a curated record. The transcript is spliced from 2 exons. NCBI's taxonomy places the organism in Eukaryota, Viridiplantae, Streptophyta, Magnoliopsida, Ranunculales, Papaveraceae.
AUGGAGUUAAAAGAUCAGUUUUUCUCAUUUUUCGCAGCAAAUGAAUAUAUACGAUAUAUAAAGUUCAGAUAGAAUUCUUUUCCAUCGUCAUGAUUUUCAUCGUUUGGUACGAGUUAUAGUCCUUCGGUGUGAAUUCAACUAUUUGCAUGGCCGGGGAAAUAAGGUUUCCGCUGAUAAAGUCUUUCGAGCACGCUGGGUUGAUCUGCUACGGGAUACUACCAAGAUUUAAUUUUUGGAUUCUUACUUUUUUUGCUUUUCCAGUCCCCUUAUUAUUCUGUUUAUCGAUAUUUUUUUAAAGAGUUUUUUUUUUUUGAAGCAUGCUAAAGAGUUUUUAUUAAUCGCUCAUAUGAUAAGAUGUCAGGAUCCAUUUCAAGGUGAAGUUCUUCUCGGUGAUGAGUUAAUGUACAACAUCGUUGGAGGUUUUUUUGGAUCUGAUCUUGCUAGCUUUGAAAUCAUGAAUAAUGAGUGGGGUUUGUUCUACGGAGACUACUGUGAGUGUGAACAAAUUCAUAAUGGUUGAUGCUUUACCUUUCUUCA